CUGCCGCCCUUCCCUUGUCUGAUUUUUUUCAGCCGGCGUUAUCUCCCUGCUCGGCAGCCCUUCCCUGUGCUUGUUCUUCAUGCCGCGUGCUCCUCAAAUUCCCAGCUCCGGCUCAUCUUCCACCAACGCGCGCUGCUCCAGCCUUUAGCUCCCUGGUCGCCGCGCAGAGGAGCUCCCUCAGCUCGCUCCUCCUGUGUCGCGCCCCAGCCCCUGGUUCGGCUCUGCUCCUCCCUGUGCCCAUCUCCCAUGGCGGCUCUCUCUGUCCGGCCACCGGCGCCUUUGUUUUCCUCUCUCCUCUACGCUGUCGCUGUUUCCUUGUGCAGCGCCGGUUGUCCUCGCGCUCGGCUCCCAGCUCGCCCAGCUUUGGUGGUCGUCGUCUCCACCUCGACCAGAGCAUCGCCGUGGAGUCCCUGCUUCUUCGGCUGGCCGCGGCGCUCUCUCCCUGGCGCGCUCGUCCGCCCCUGCUCCACUGCGCCGAGCAGUUCCCAGCCGAGCUCCUAUCCAGCCAUGCCGCGCCCUCCCUACUCCUUCCUGCAACUCGGUGCCUCUCCCAGCUCGCUGGUCGUCGAGUCCUUCUCCCUAGCGCAUGGAUCAAGUUGUUGCCCCCAGCCAUGUCUUCAUCUCCAUCAACUGACACUUUCUGCUCGGCCACAUGCCAUGGAGCUCGUCCUGCCCCUGUUUCCAUGACCGGCGUCCCCAAGCUCCUCCCCUGUGCGUCGCGAUUUUCCCUGGCACAGCUCGCUCACUGUUCGCCGCACGCUCUGGGACCCUCCCUGCACUGCGCCAUGGCAACCGUUGGACCGGUCGUUCGCUGCGCGCCAACUUCCCUGUGCGCGCCUCUGUUCCUCGUCGUGGUGGGGUCGUGGUUUGGCAACGUCGUGUGCAUUGCGAUAGCCGUCCUGACCGCAAAGCAGUCCGCGCAAUAAAGUUCGCUCGGUCGCGACCUCGCUUUGCUCUCUGCGUCGUUGUUCGCCCAUGUUGUCACGUCCUGUUUCCGGCUCGUAAGUGCGCCCUUUCGGCUCGCUCGGCUUUAAUUCCCAAUCAUGUCGUCGAACGACACGACCUUGUCGUUCGUCGUCACGUCGUUCGCCGUCAAGCCUCACUGUAAUUCCUGCUGUGCCUCGCUUCUGAUGUGUUCGAUUAAAUGACGGACCAAGAAUCCAAGAUGUCGCUCCUCCUCGCUGUGAAAUCCUCACGCUCACCAUUCUCUAUUCGAUCUCGUCGUCAAGCUGAAGGCCGUCGUUGUUCAGGCAACUACCAAAUUGAGUUGUGAUGUGGUGAGCCGAUUCGCUAUUUUUACUCUCGGUUUUCUGAUCGUAAAAUAAGACGCUUUGUAUACGUAUACGAUUAAGUUAGAAAUACCAGUAAGGCGAGAUAUGCUUCGAGGAGUUUAAUUGCCGAAUAUAUUCGAACUAGUUAUAUUUUGUAGAAUAUAGUAUUUCGGUGACACGUAGGUUAAAUUUAGUAUUUUAAAAUGUC
Molecule: unclassified non-coding RNA, 1479 nt
Filed under: Zea mays
Lineage: Eukaryota; Viridiplantae; Streptophyta; Magnoliopsida; Poales; Poaceae
Description: misc RNA Zm00001eb000160
Source: RNAcentral